This 2115-nucleotide long non-coding RNA is filed under the name Brassica napus (rape). RNAcentral describes it as "long non-coding RNA (BNAP_LNC025338)". The record is from RNAcentral. Lineage: Eukaryota; Viridiplantae; Streptophyta; Magnoliopsida; Brassicales; Brassicaceae.
GCUGCCUCUUCCCCAGGGUGAAGAACGCUUAGAACUAACCGUUGAUAAGCCAGCAGUUUUGUUUACAGGUUUCUCAGCUGAAGCUGUGUAUCUAGGAGCAGUGAGAGGGGUACUGGGAUUGACUGAUGGCAUAGCCUCUCUCCCUGAUUGAUAACAGUUCUCAGUAGGUGAUACGCUGGCGAUUUCUAUAUCUUUAAAAGGCUCUUCAAUUUGUCUUUUCACUCUAGUGGGAAACUCGCCAGUACUCUCGAUUGAACAAUGGAUGUCUUUAGGAGACUCAGCAUCUGAAUCUUCAACCCCAUAUUCCUGAGAGAAAAGCACAUUCAAGGAAAGAAUAUUUAGUAGCUAAUUGUUGAAGGAAUGAAUACAAAUGGAAACGACUGCAGUGGGAUAAGAUGGAAAGAACAAACCUUGUAGUCAUACAGAUCACUGCCAGCAUAACCACUGCUUUCACUACGUUUUCUGCUCAGCAUUACAUCAUCAUCAUCAUCAUCUGUUUGGCCAUCUUCUAUAUCCACAUUGUGCAAGUCAGGACGUUUAACCUCUAUGUCCUCUUCAUCACUCGAGUUCUCAGGCCCACUCUCGCCAAUAUGAGAAUCAGUAGAAGUGGAGCAUCUUUGGAGACCUUCAUCCUGCAAACAAAUAGUUGAGCAUAUAGUAUUGUUUUGUGUGGCACUGGCACCAGAUAUAAAUCAAAUGACAGGAUGGCAUGAUCUUACAUUGAUCAUAUUCCCAUAGUCUUCCAAAAGGGAUGUGACAAUAGCUUGAGCAUUAUUGGCAGCAUUAGCGGCAGCAAGAAGCUGGGCAGAGUUAUCUUCUAGAGCGUCAAAGCCUUCGAGAUCACAUUCUCCAGCCAGUAGAGGACGCAGUAGCAAUGGAGACAUACAAGCAGCUACAGCAGAUGAAGUCAUCCGGUUCUCACGGGAAUGAGAGGUGAUAGUAUGCAUCAUCUUCAGAAUCCUACAGGAUAAAACCCAUGCUGAGAAUAAAGCUGUUUGAAGCAACCAAAAUAAUAAACCCCCAAACAGGUUUCCAUUAGAGCACCGCCUAUCAGCUUCUGCGAGAGCAAUCUCCUCAAGCUCAGCCCUUGUCUUCGCAUUUAUUAGUGAUGUUAGAACCAAGGAGAGCAAGAUAUAUAACCGUAAACACAAGGAACAAAAGUGUAUACUCACUUUAGAAUCCGCAGCUUGUGAGCUAAAGUGUCCACAAGAACUGCUAAGACCAACUUCAAGAGCGGAUCUGAGGUCUCUCUCAGCUUGUAGUUGCUCUUGUAAUCUGCCAACCUGAUUAUUUCAUGACAAGCAAAAUGGAAAUUAUGAAUAAAAACUGGAGAAUAGAAAUACAAAAUCUCAAGAGAAGGUGCCAUACAUCUUGUUCAAGUGCCAACCGACGUUCAUGCAAAGCCUGCUUCCUUCUCUCCAAGCUAGCUUGUAAUACUGCAUUUCCCUUAGCCUGCAGUAUCCAUUCAAUCAAUACAAUAACAUUUAAGUUAUCAGCAUAUAGUACUUCUACUGCCACUACAAUUACCUCCUUAGCGAUUCGUUGCCUCAGCUCAUCUUUCAUAAGCUCCAGCCUCUGAAUUAGAAGCCUACAAAAGUAGUGAAGCAGCAUUCACAUAAGCAUAAGCAACCCUCAUGAAAACUAGGAGUGUUAAUGAACCACAAUAUACGCAUUCAGUACUGAAUAUCUUACUCGUCAUUUCCUGAACCAUCAAAUGAUCCUUUAGCAGGAGUUUUUUGACCCUGCAUAUAGUAAACAAAGAAAAGAAUUGGAAAGCUGUGACAACAGAAUCAUCACUUUUCAUGCCAGCAAUGGGAAACUUACGCUGCCUCUUCCCCAGGGUGAAGAACGCUUAGAACUAACCGUUGAUAAGCCAGCAGUUUUGUUUACAGGUUUCUCAGCUGAAGCUGUGUAUCUAGGAGCAGUGAGAGGGGUACUGGGAUUGACUGAUGGCAUAGCCUCUCUCCCUGAUUGAUAACAGUUCUCAGUAGGUGAUACGCUGGCGAUUUCUAUAUCUUUAAAAGGCUCUUCAAUUUGUCUUUUCACUCUAGUGGGAAACUCGCCAGUACUCUCGAUUGAACAAUGGAUGUCUUUAGGAGACUCAGCAUCUGAAUC